RNAcentral lists this ribosomal RNA (253 nucleotides) under uncultured bacterium. RNAcentral's name for it is "partial 16S ribosomal RNA". It matches the Rfam family "Bacterial small subunit ribosomal RNA", at positions 524 to 776 of the family's 1533-position model. The record is from RNAcentral.
CACGUAGGGCGCGAGCGUUGUCCGGAAUUAUUGGGCGUAAAGAGCUCGUAGGCGGCCUGUUGCGUCCGCUGUGAAAGCCCGGGGCUUAACCCCGGGUCGGCAGUGGAUACGGGCAGGCUAGAGGUAGGUAGGGGAGAAUGGAAUUCCCGGUGUAGCGGUGAAAUGCGCAGAUAUCGGGAGGAAUACCUAUGGCGAAAGCAGGCUUCUGGGCUAUCACUGACGCUGAUCUGCGAAAGCUAGGGGAGCAAACAGG